UACGUAGGGUGCAAGCGUUUGUCCGGAAUUAUUGGGCGUAAAGAGCUCGUAGGCGGUUUGUUGCGUCGGCUGUGAAAUCCCGAGGCUCAACCUCGGGUCUGCAGUCGAUACGAGCAACUAGAGUGUUGCAGGGAGACUGGAAUUCCUGGUGUAGCGGUGAAAUGCGCAGAUAUCAGGAGGAACACCGGUGGCGAGGGCGGGUCUCUGGGCAACAACUGACGCUGGAGGAGCGAAAGCGUGGGAGCGAACAGG
RNAcentral lists this ribosomal RNA (252 nucleotides) under uncultured bacterium. RNAcentral's name for it is "partial 16S ribosomal RNA". It matches the Rfam family "Bacterial small subunit ribosomal RNA", at positions 524 to 776 of the family's 1533-position model. The record is from RNAcentral.